Non-coding RNA from Caenorhabditis elegans, 107 nucleotides. NCBI's taxonomy places the organism in Eukaryota, Metazoa, Nematoda, Chromadorea, Rhabditida, Rhabditidae. The record is from Ensembl.
GUGCAAAAACCGCAUCAAUGCACCGGAUUUUACGACAAAAUGCGGAAAAACGCGGUUCUACGUAAUAAUCGAAUUUUUUCUGCAUUUUGUCGUAAGAUCCGAUGCAU